UACGAAGGGGGCUAGCGUUGUUCGGAAUUACUGGGCGUAAAGCGCACGUAGGCGGACUCUUAAGUCAGGGGUGAAAUCCCGGGGCUCAACCUCGGAACUGCCUUUGAUACUGUGAGUCUCGAGUCCGGGAGAGGUGAGUGGAAUUCCUAGUGUAGAGGUGAAAUUCGUAGAUAUUAGGAAGAACACCAGUGGCGAAGGCGGCUCACUGGCCCGGUACUGACGCUGAGGCGCGAAAGCGUGGGGAGCAAACAGG
This 253-nucleotide ribosomal RNA is filed under the name uncultured bacterium. RNAcentral's name for it is "partial 16S ribosomal RNA". It matches the Rfam family "Bacterial small subunit ribosomal RNA", at positions 524 to 776 of the family's 1533-position model. The record is from RNAcentral.